AAAAGUGACACAGAAGGAGGAAGAAGAGACCCUAAGAAAGGAUGCUGAAGAGCUCAAGGCAUGGAUUGAUUUGAUAGAGACCAUGGACGAGCAGCAACUAAUGGAGUAUCUAGAAAAUCAUGCUGGAGAGAUUAAAGUGCCAAAGGUUCAAAAGCCCAAGAAGAAGGUCCAAAGCACUGGGAAGCCAAAGUCUUCCACUGGGAUUCUGGCUUCAGUUUGGAGGUUUCACAAAAAUGAGUA
This 240-nucleotide small RNA is filed under the name Vigna angularis var. angularis. Its description in RNAcentral is "Non-protein coding transcript". Lineage: Eukaryota; Viridiplantae; Streptophyta; Magnoliopsida; Fabales; Fabaceae. The record is from RNAcentral.